CCUACGGGUGGCAGCAGUGAGGAAUAUUGGUCAAUGGACGCAAGUCUGCACCAGCCAUGCCGCGUGCAGGAUGACGGCUCUAUGAGUUGUAAACUGCUUUUGUCCGAGGGUACACGCAGAUACGCGUAUCUGUCCGAAAGUAUCUUACGAAUAAGGAUCGGCUAACUCCGUGCCAGCAGCCGCGGUAAUCCGGAGGAUUCAAGCGUUAUCCGGAUUUAUUGGGUUUAAAGGGUGCGUAGGCGGAAUAUGAAGUCAGCGGUAAAAAUUCGGGGCUCAACCCCGUCGUGACGUUGAAACUGAUGGUCUUGAGUGGGCGAGAAGUAUGCGGAAUGCGUGGUGUAGCGGUGAAAUGCAUAGAUAUCACGCAGAACGCCGAUUGCGAAGGCAGCAUACCGGCGCCCAACUGACGCUGAAGCACGAAAGCGUGGGUAUCGAACAGGAUUAGAUACCCGAGUAGUC
Molecule: ribosomal RNA, 459 nt
Filed under: uncultured bacterium
Lineage: Bacteria
Description: partial 16S ribosomal RNA
Rfam family: Bacterial small subunit ribosomal RNA
Source: RNAcentral